Molecule: ribosomal RNA, 439 nt
Filed under: Salmonella enterica
Lineage: Bacteria; Pseudomonadati; Pseudomonadota; Gammaproteobacteria; Enterobacterales; Enterobacteriaceae
Also listed under: 2 other names
Description: partial 23S ribosomal RNA
Rfam family: Bacterial large subunit ribosomal RNA
Source: RNAcentral
ACCCUUUAAUGUUUGAUGUUCUAACGUGGACCCGUAAUCCGGGUUGCGGACAGUGUCUGGUGGGUAGUUUGACUGGGGCGGUCUCCUCCUAAAGAGUAACGGAGGAGCACGAAGGUUGGCUAAUCCUGGUCGGACAUCAGGAGGUUAGUGCAAUGGCAUAAGCCAGCUUGACUGCGAGCGUGACGGCGCGAGCAGGUGCGAAAGCAGGUCAUAGUGAUCCGGUGGUUCUGAAUGGAAGGGCCAUCGCUCAACGGAUAAAAGGUACUCCGGGGAUAACAGGCUGAUACCGCCCAAGAGUUCAUAUCGACGGCGGUGUUUGGCACCUCGAUGUCGGCUCAUCACAUCCUGGGGCUGAAGUAGGUCCCAAGGGUAUGGCUGUUCGCCAUUUAAAGUGGUACGCGAGCUGGGUUUAGAACGUCGUGAGACAGUUCGGUCCCUA